This 100-nucleotide unclassified non-coding RNA is filed under the name Palicourea guianensis. Its description in RNAcentral is "partial external transcribed spacer". Lineage: Eukaryota; Viridiplantae; Streptophyta; Magnoliopsida; Gentianales; Rubiaceae. The record is from RNAcentral.
CUCUAUUUGCCCCCAAAUUGGCAUAACAUGCCCCAUUCGGAUGACGUUUGGCGUUUCAAGCAUGUCUCGCAUCUUGCAACCCAAUGUCUGUGAGGAAUGU